AGUCGUAACAAGGUUUCCGUAGGUGAACCUGCGGAAGGAUCAUUGUCGUGACCCUUAAACAAAACAGACCGUGAACAUGUCAUCCAUCCUGCACGUGGUUCUACCCGUGCAAGGCCCCCGACCUUUCCGAAGGAGAGGGGCCGCAAAAGAACCCACGGCGCCGAAGGCGUCAAGGAAAACUGAUAUUGCCUUGCUCGGGGCUGUGCUCGGCUUGCCGAGCACACCUCGUGCAGCGAUGCUAUCUUAAUCCACACGACUCUCGGCAACGGAUAUCUCGGCUCUC
Molecule: unclassified non-coding RNA, 283 nt
Filed under: fungal sp.
Lineage: Eukaryota; Fungi
Description: partial internal transcribed spacer region
Rfam family: Eukaryotic small subunit ribosomal RNA (bases 1-45)
Source: RNAcentral